Molecule: small nuclear RNA, 161 nt
Filed under: Podarcis muralis (Common wall lizard)
Lineage: Eukaryota; Metazoa; Chordata; Lepidosauria; Squamata; Lacertidae
Description: U1 spliceosomal RNA (ENSPMRG00000023249.1)
Rfam family: U1 spliceosomal RNA
About the family: U1 is a small nuclear RNA (snRNA) component of the spliceosome (involved in pre-mRNA splicing). Its 5' end forms complementary base pairs with the 5' splice junction, thus defining the 5' donor site of an intron. There are significant differences in sequence and secondary structure between metazoan and yeast U1 snRNAs, the latter being much longer (568 nucleotides as compared to 164 nucleotides in human).
Source: Rfam by way of RNAcentral
UUUCUUACCUGGCAGGGGAGACACCUUGAUCAUGAAGGAGGUUUUCCCAGGGUGAGGCUCAUCCAUUGCACUGUGGGUGUGCUGACCCCUGCGAUUUCCCCAAAUGCGGGAAACUCGACUGCAUAAUUUGUGGUAGUUCAGGGAAGUUUUCAAUGUGUGGC